GAUGAACGCUGGCGGCGUGCCUAAUACAUGCAAGUCGAGCGAACGGACGAGAAGCUUGCUUCUCUGAUGUUAGCGGCGGACGGGUGAGUAACACGUGGAUAACCUACCUAUAAGACUGGGAUAACUUCGGGAAACCGGAGCUAAUACCGGAUAAUAUUUUGAACCGCAUGGUUCAAAAGUGAAAGACGGUCUUGCUGUCACUUAUAGAUGGAUCCGCGCUGCAUUAGCUAGUUGGUAAGGUAACGGCUUGCCAAGGCAACGAUGCAUAGCCGACCUGAGAGGGUGAUCGGCCACACUGGAACUGAGACACGGUCCAGACUCCUACGGGAGGCAGCAGUAGGGAAUCUUCCGCAAUGGGCGAAAGCCUGACGGAGCAACGCCGCGUGAGUGAUGAAGGUCUUCGGAUCGUAAAACUCUGUUAUUAGGGAAGAACAUAUGUGUAAGUAACUGUGCACAUCUUGACGGUACCUAAUCAGAAAGCCACGGCUAACUACGUGCCAGCAGCCGCGGUAAUACGUAGGUGGCAAGCGUUAUCCGGAAUUAUUGGGCGUAAAGCGCGCGUAGGCGGUUUUUUAAGUCUGAUGUGAAAGCCCACGGCUCAACCGUGGAGGGUCAUUGGAAACUGGAAAACUUGAGUGCAGAAGAGGAAAGUGGAAUUCCAUGUGUAGCGGUGAAAUGCGCAGAGAUAUGGAGGAACACCAGUGGCGAAGGCGACUUUCUGGUCUGUAACUGACGCUGAUGUGCGAAAGCGUGGGGAUCAAACAGGAUUAGAUACCCUGGUAGUCCACGCCGUAAACGAUGAGUGCUAAGUGUUAGGGGGUUUCCGCCCCUUAGUGCUGCAGCUAACGCAUUAAGCACUCCGCCUGGGGAGUACGACCGCAAGGUUGAAACUCAAAGGAAUUGACGGGGACCCGCACAAGCGGUGGAGCAUGUGGUUUAAUUCGAAGCAACGCGAAGAACCUUACCAAAUCUUGACAUCCUUUGACAACUCUAGAGAUAGAGCCUUCCCCUUCGGGGGACAAAGUGACAGGUGGUGCAUGGUUGUCGUCAGCUCGUGUCGUGAGAUGUUGGGUUAAGUCCCGCAACGAGCGCAACCCUUAAGCUUAGUUGCCAUCAUUAAGUUGGGCACUCUAAGUUGACUGCCGGUGACAAACCGGAGGAAGGUGGGGAUGACGUCAAAUCAUCAUGCCCCUUAUGAUUUGGGCUACACACGUGCUACAAUGGACAAUACAAAGGGCAGCGAAACCGCGAGGUCAAGCAAAUCCCAUAAAGUUGUUCUCAGUUCGGAUUGUAGUCUGCAACUCGACUACAUGAAGCCGGAAUCGCUAGUAAUCGUAGAUCAGCAUGCUACGGUGAAUACGUUCUCGGGUCU
This 1372-nucleotide ribosomal RNA is filed under the name uncultured bacterium. Its description in RNAcentral is "bacterial SSU rRNA". It matches the Rfam family "Bacterial small subunit ribosomal RNA", at positions 28 to 1381 of the family's 1533-position model. The record is from RNAcentral.